Sinocyclocheilus anshuiensis is the source of this 1434-nucleotide RNA transcript. It is a transcript of the gene named fasciculation and elongation protein zeta 2a, with no coding region annotated. The record is from RefSeq and is a predicted model, not a curated record. The transcript has 9 exons. NCBI's taxonomy places the organism in Eukaryota, Metazoa, Chordata, Actinopteri, Cypriniformes, Cyprinidae.
CCGAGCACAUCUCUCCGGUUGCGUUUAUGGCGGAGCCUUCAGCGCGGCGAGAUGACGACGAGUGGCACGAUUUUAACGCAUUCAAGAGCGGAACGGGACGAAAUACUCAUGUGGAGCGGGUUCGAGUGAACGCUGAAGACAUGUCGCUGCUGCUGGAUGGGGUUUCUGUCACAGAGCUCGCGUUUGAGACGAGCCCUUACACAGAGGACAUGAUCACACACUUCGACGAGAAGUUACAAUUAUGCUUCCAAAAUGUAAACCCUAAACCGGACGCAAUAAACCAAAUGACGCCGAUAAAUGAGGAUACGACCCUGAAAUGCGAUGAGAUCUGGGAGGCUCUCACGGAUAACUAUGGCAGUGUGAUGCCGGUGGACUGGAGUCAGUCUAAAGCUCGCUCACUUCACCUCUCAGCGCUGAGCAUUGAGGACAGACCGCGGAUGGAGAGUGUGAACCUGGACCUGUCUGAUGAUGAGGACCUGAGGGAGCAGAUGGACAUGCACUCCAUCAUUGUGUCCUGCAUCAACGAGGAGCCGCUGCUCACUGCUGAACAGGUGAUUGAGGAGCUAGAGGAGCUCAUGCAGGACUCCCCAGAGAUGGAAUCAGCGCGGAUCGCUCCACACUCAGAGCUCUCGCUCAUCUCUCAGAAGACGCAGAGGUCUCACAGCAGCCAGAUCUCCGAGGAGCGAGUGAGGCUGAUGUCUGCGCUGGAGCUGAACGACGAGCUGGAGGACGUGGAGACGGCCAUACGCAGCUAUUCAGAGGAGCUCAUCCAGCAGCUGGCCAUCAGAGAUGAGCUGGAGUUUGAGAAGGAGGUGAAGAACAGCUUCAUCGCGGUUCUCAUAGACGUACAGAACCGGCAGAAGGUCCACCGAGAGAUGCUGAAAAAGAAGAGGAAAGUGAAGAGCGCGUCUGCAUCAGAGAGGCUGCCGUCUUCUUAUGUAACAACAGUCAUCCCUUACGAGAGAAAAGACGGACCACCGUCACUCCAAGACCUUCAGAUUUUUACCAAAAUUUUAGAAGCCAUGAGAGAUGACAGCGAUAAAGUCCCAAGCCUCCUCACAGACUACAUCCUCAAAGAGAGAGACUCGUCUCUGCAGCGUCCCUGGAGGGAAUUACUCACUGUGUUCCUCAGAUUUCUCACUGCAUGAUGUGUUCGACUUCAGCUGCAGGACUCUGAGUUCUUCUGUACUGAUGUGAUGUUGUGUGUUUGAAUCUAUGCACGGAACUGACCGGCCAUCCGGCCUGAGUGAAACAGACAGAUCGGAGCGUAUCUUCAUGACUUGAGACACAUUGAGCCUUAAACAAAUUAAUAAAUCUACAUGCUGGUGAGAUUGUGUUACCGUGCCAGUGUUUGAAUGUACGAUCUGCUUGUGUGUCUGUUAAAUGAAUCGUUCACCCAGGACUCAGGCUAUCCAAGAUGUAUAUGAGUUUGUU